RNAcentral lists this long non-coding RNA (1126 nucleotides) under Macaca fascicularis (crab-eating macaque). RNAcentral describes it as "lncRNA (ENSMFAG00000054352.1)". The record is from RNAcentral. Lineage: Eukaryota; Metazoa; Chordata; Mammalia; Primates; Cercopithecidae.
UUUUUUUUUUUUUUUGCUUUUUUUUCUUUACCUACUUUGUUUGCUGUUGUUGAAACAUUUUAACAAAUUAAUUAGAUGCUAAUUCUUAGCAAUAAAUGAAACCCUUAAGGUGCUCAAAUUGUAAACCCCACAAUAAAACCUGUUUAUUCUCAAAGAUGUGCCUCAGAUUCUGAAUGAACACAGAUCUCUUCCAGGGGUUGCAUUCAAGGGAUGGGUCCAAGGUUCUCAUUGCCAUCAGCCAGGAGAGAUAUCCCCAAGGACAUACUACAGGUCUAUCUGUUUUAUUCCAAUUUUAAUCAAAUACUUAAAUAAACACACUGAAACCAGGCUUUCUGAGUUUUCAGCUGGCUCCAAGAUAGAAAGGAUGGGUAGCAUAUUAGACACAGACUUAAACUUCUGAACAGGCAGAAUGAUACACAGACGCUUACAAGAUAAAACUCAAUAGGGAGAAAAGUAAUGCCAUGUUUUCAGUAGUGUUGCAAAGUCAAAGCCUCCAAACAGGAUGGAGGAGAUAAAAAGAGAGCCACUCACAUUAAAAAAAAAAAUCUAGCUGUUUCAGUUAACAUCAAAUAAUAGAAAUCAGCAGGGAAAUGUAACUUCAAAAGCACUGUUGAAUACGUGGGCUAAAUGCAUAUCAAUAGCGCCCAAAAUAAAAAAUGUAAUAGUCUCAUUGUCUUCUGACCUGGUCAGACUCCAGGGAGAGUAUCAGAUUUAGUUACCAGUGUUAUUGUUUACAAAGGAAAUGAAAAUAUAGAACUGGAUAUACAGGGGGCUGAGAUUAGGGUAGAGAAGAGUUUCAACACCAGAUUAUAUGAAGAAUGAUGGGAGAAAAAGAAGACACAUUGCAUGAGCAAGGGAGAAGUCAGGAGAGACACGAGAGGUGUCUAAAUAGUUAUAGCAUUGGUCUGACGGAGAGGGAUGAAAUUAGAUUCUGAGCGGCAAUCUCGAAAAUCUGAGAAAGUCUUCAUUGACAAAACCUUCAGGAAGGCAGCUUUCAGCUCAAUAUGAAUCUUAGACGUCUCCUACCAAUCUCUUUGUCUCAUGGAAGUGGCCUUCUUUUAUAAGCACCCUGUGACCUAAGGCCCAUGUCAGCCCCACAAGUCUCAAGAUUCUGUACAGGAAGAAC